GAUGAAGAACGUAGCGAAAUGCGAUAAGUAAUGCGAAUUGCAGAUCUCCGUGAGUCAUUGAAUCUUUGAACGCACAUUGCGCCCUCGGGUAUUCCCGAGGGCAUGCCUGUCCGAGCGUCAUUAUCCAACCAUCAAGCUCGGCUUGCGGUUGAGCCCCGCACCGUCCCCGGGACGGUGGGCUCGAAACAUGUUGGGCGCCCGUGAGGUUGUCGGUGCAGCGAGUUCUCGAGCACGUGCCGGGCAACCGCUCUGGGCGUCGGCCAGCCCCCCCAUUUUCUCAGGUUGACCUCGGAUCAGGUAGGAAUACCCGCUGAACUUAAGCAUAUCAAUAAGCGGAGGA
This 340-nucleotide unclassified non-coding RNA is filed under the name soil metagenome. RNAcentral describes it as "partial contains 5.8S ribosomal RNA, internal transcribed spacer 2, and large subunit ribosomal RNA". The stretch from base 1 to 120 matches the Rfam family "5.8S ribosomal RNA", at positions 35 to 154 of the family's 154-position model. The record is from RNAcentral.